RNAcentral lists this unclassified non-coding RNA (938 nucleotides) under Homalodisca vitripennis (glassy-winged sharpshooter). Its description in RNAcentral is "cathepsin B-like, transcript variant X2". The record is from RNAcentral. Lineage: Eukaryota; Metazoa; Arthropoda; Insecta; Hemiptera; Cicadellidae.
GCAUUUGGGGCCGUAGAGUCAAUGUCGGAUCGACAGUGCAUCCAUAACACCAGUACAGGGGCUGUUCACUACUCUGCGGAAGACCUGGUGUCAUGUUGUCACACUUGUGGGUUCGGCUGUAAUGGUGGCUUCCCUGGGGCAGCCUGGCGCUACUGGGUACACAGUGGCAUUGUCAGCGGAGGCAACUAUGGAUCGAACCAGGGUUGUGCGCCAUAUGAAAUUGCGCCUUGUGAGCACCAUGUGAACGGCACUAGACCUCCUUGUGCUGAGGGUGGCAAGACACCUAAGUGUGAGAAACGAUGCCAACACUCAUACAGUGUGGACUACAAUAAGGACAAACACUUUGGGAAGAGCGCUUACAGUGUAGAUGGCGAGGAGAAACAGAUUCAGAUAGAGAUCAUGAAGAAUGGACCAGUAGAAGGAGCUUUCUCAGUCUAUGAAGAUUUUGUACAGUACAAAGCAGGUGUGUACAAGCAUGUGGCAGGCAAGAUGUUGGGAGGACAUGCCAUCCGUAUCUUAGGGUGGGGGGUGGAGGAUGGCACUCCUUAUUGGCUAGUAGCAAACUCCUGGAACUCUGACUGGGGUGAUCAUGGAUAUUUCAAAAUCCUCCGAGGUUCCGAUGAGUGCGGCAUCGAGAGUGAGAUCAAUGCUGGCAUCCCAAAGUAAUCUACAUGACAAUUAGUGUCUGCUCAAUAUUAUGUCUUUUUAACGUUCAUAAUUUGUUUAUGAAAAAAGUGCCAUCAUUGUUUUACUAUAUAUAUAUAUAUACUAUAUAUUUGACUGUGGUAUAAAAAAUAAUAAUUCUCAUACCUGUAUACUCAAAUCGAAGAACAAAAUAUCUUUCUGAUAGUUGAUAUUUGUUUAUGUUACUACUGGAUUAUAUAUUUUUGCUAUGAAGUUCAUGUGUUAUGUUUCAAUAAAUAAAUAUUUUGAAUAUA